RNAcentral lists this ribosomal RNA (481 nucleotides) under uncultured bacterium. RNAcentral describes it as "bacterial SSU rRNA". It matches the Rfam family "Bacterial small subunit ribosomal RNA", at positions 20 to 518 of the family's 1533-position model. The record is from RNAcentral.
UGGCUCAGGACGAACGCUGGCGGCGUGCUUAACACAUGCAAGUCGAGCGAUGAAGCUUCUUCGGGAGUGGAUUAGCGGCGGACGGGUGAGUAACACGUGGGUAACCUGCCUCAUAGAGGGGAAUAGCCUUUCGAAAGGAAGAUUAAUACCGCAUAAGAUUGUAGUACCGCAUGGUACAGCAAUUAAAGGAGUAAUCCGCUAUGAGAUGGACCCGCGUCGCAUUAGCUAGUUGGUGAGGUAACGGCUCACCAAGGCGACGAUGCGUAGCCGACCUGAGAGGGUGAUCGGCCACAUUGGGACUGAGACACGGCCCAGACUCCUACGGGAGGCAGCAGUGGGGAAUAUUGCACAAUGGGGGAAACCCUGAUGCAGCAACGCCGCGUGAGUGAUGACGGCCUUCGGGUUGUAAAACUCUGUCUUUGGGGACGAUAAUGGCGGUACCCAAGGAGGAAGCCACGGCUAACUACGUGCCAGCAGCUGC